Homo sapiens (human) is the source of this 2052-nucleotide long non-coding RNA. Ensembl annotates it as long intergenic non-protein coding RNA 1029. Lineage: Eukaryota; Metazoa; Chordata; Mammalia; Primates; Hominidae. The record is from Ensembl.
GGCUCUUUUUGCCUGCCGCCAUCCACGUAAGGUAUGAUUUGCCCCUCCUUGCCUUCUGCCAUGAUUGUGAGGCCUCCCCAGCCACGUGAAACUGAUCACAGGGCUCAGUUGAAGUCCAAGACUGUCAGAGGUGUGGAUAAAGUUAAAAUAUUUAACCUUCUCAUGUAAACAUAAGAAGGAGAGUGCAUGAGAUUAUAUAAAGACUCAGAGAAGAGAUACAGCUCCUCCCGCACCAGAGAAAUGCAGCUCCGUGAGCCCCGAUGGAGCCAGCAUGCUGCUGGGUGCUGAGGAGCAGGCAGAGGCACCCAGGAUGGCGGUCCCCAAGGAGAACGGAGGCACAGAACAACGCAUGAGGGGCCACAUGACUUAGGGCCGGGAUCGGUCACUCAGCCAGCAAAAACACUGGAAGAAAACAAAACAACUUCAGACUCUAUGCUGCAUUUCCGUAAUAUAUCUGCCCAAAGACUGGACAACAAAGGUAAAGGAGGCUGAUGAGGAAACGAAAGGAUCCGUGGUUCUUGGCUCGCUGGGUGGCUCAUCAACAAAGCCCCAGCAUCACUCCUGCAGAUGCCCUAGCCUGGCCUGGGCUGGGAUGGGCAAAAUUCACCAUGGGACUCUUGUUCAAGAGAGGGAGAUCAAAGCCAGAAACACUUACCCAGAAUGGCCAUGCAGACUAAAAUUCCAAUUCUAAAAAUACUUUUAAAAUGUAACGUACAACAAAGGAAAGCUGGAAAAAUAUUUAAAAAAGGAUGAAAGGGCAAGAAAAAUUCAACCCACGACCUCAAGGCGAUUAUAAUCUGUGUUCUGCUGCUUCCCAGAGCCGCUUCAGUCUUCAGCUCAGAGUCUACCAGACACUAAAAUGCAACUGAACACUCAGUUCAUACUUGUUCUUCUAAUUAGCUGCCUCUUCCAUUUGAUUAAUAUUGCCUCCUAAUUUAAUUGUAAAUUGUAUUUCUGGUUUAUAUUUCGCUUCUCCCUCCUGUUGUACCUGGUGACCAUCUUCAUUAAUCAUAUUGUAGCUUUUUAAUGAAUCUCAUAUGCCAAUUUAUGGUGAACAAGACUUGAUAUGAAGGCAUCUUCAUCAAAUCAUUCAUAAUCUUGUAACUAUUGGUUUAUUUUCUGUAACGACCUAUAAAUGUACACCAAAAAAAUGAAAGAUUCCCCCUAAAAUGUAAUGGGACAGAACUUUGUUUACGUAGAUUUCUGAGGAUGGGUUGAGACGCCAAAUUCCGCUUGUGUUUGGAAUUUCUAUUUCACUGGGCUUAGUGAGGGUGCCCAUGUUUUGCAAUCCUGUGCUCUAGAAUCUAUCAUAAACAGAUUCUUCUAAUUGUUUGACAUUAAACUGCAAAUUUGUGUUUUUGUGUCUGCUCAAAUAUAAAAUGUCUUUGGGAAAAAUACAGAGAAUGGUUCGUUAGAGCUGCUUCUACUCUUGUGUCUAAGUCCAAAUGGCCAAUUGAGGAGGACAUCUCUGAAUACACACCCCAGGCAGCAGGACCAAAUUCAAGAUUUCUGAUUCUGCUGGCUGGGAUGUAACCCAACGUAUCAGGCACCAAAUGGGCUUGCUUUUGUGUUUUUUCAUUUCCAUUCCUUGGCAGAAUCUCUUUUAUCUUUGACUCCCCUCACAUUCCAGCCUCUUUGUUUUCAUAAGUGGAAUGGCAUUUGUAGGCUAAGCCAAGGACAAAAAGGGAGGCUGUGUGGGGUCACGUUGCAACAUAGUGGCUACCCACAAUGUCUUUGGCAUCCCAAAUAGAAAUUUCCAACGGCAAAUAUCCAGGCAUGCUUGAAAUCCAUAAGCGUGCACUCUGCCUCGUUGCGCUUCCACACGACAUUGUUUCUCCUUGACACAUCGCAAGCCUCAAAUCAAUGCUGAUAGACACAAGAACCCUCUGGCAUCCCCUGUGAUCUAGGAUUUCCCGCGAUGUUACUUGCUGUUCUAAUUACUCUUUCUUCAUGCAAAAUAUUAUAAGUGGCUUGGUUAAGCGCACCCUAAACUGGCCACGUUGCUGUCCUUAUAAAAAUAAACAAAUGCUCCGUUUUUUACACCUCUAAACA